Molecule: long non-coding RNA, 212 nt
Filed under: Brassica napus (rape)
Lineage: Eukaryota; Viridiplantae; Streptophyta; Magnoliopsida; Brassicales; Brassicaceae
Description: long non-coding RNA (BNAP_LNC018816)
Source: RNAcentral
AGGAAACUGGAAUCACCUGAUUUGAAAGUGGGAUAACUUCUUUCUGACAACUCCUAUGAGAUUUAUUCAACUUCCUGGUGAUUCUCCACCACUUUAUGUAUCCAAAUCAAAUUAAAGACAAUGGAGUCCAUACUUUCUAGGCUUGGGCUCAUUGAUCUUACUCCCAGGAGCUGAUCCCCUUAACCAUGGAGUCUCCACUCUUUUUCCCUCAU